GUUGAGUAUAUGGGUUAGGUUGGGCGGACGGGUGGAGGUAACGUACGUGGGUAACCGUAGUCCUACACAGGGGAGUAACAACUUAGAAAUAAGGUAGCUAAAACCGACAUAAGACGCACAGCUUCGCAUGAAGCGGUGUGAAAAACUCCGGUGGUGUAAGAUGGACCCGCGUCUGAUUAGCUUGUUGGCGGGGUAACGGCCCACCAAGGCGACGAUCAGUAGCCGGCCUGAGAGGGCGGACGGCCACAUUGGGACUGAGACACGGCCCAGACUCCUACGGGAGGCAGCAGUGGGGAAUAUUGCACAAUGGGGGAAACCCUGAUGCAGCGACGCCGCGUGAGUGAAGAAGUAAUUCGUUACGUAAAGCACUAUCAGCAGGGAAGAAACACUGACCUUACGGUCAGCAGACGGUACCUGAGUAAGAAGCCCCGGCUAACUACGUG
Molecule: ribosomal RNA, 443 nt
Filed under: uncultured Lachnospiraceae bacterium
Lineage: Bacteria; Bacillati; Bacillota; Clostridia; Lachnospirales; Lachnospiraceae
Description: bacterial SSU rRNA
Rfam family: Bacterial small subunit ribosomal RNA
Source: RNAcentral